This 989-nucleotide long non-coding RNA is filed under the name Olea europaea (common olive). RNAcentral describes it as "long non-coding RNA (OEUR_LNC011831)". Lineage: Eukaryota; Viridiplantae; Streptophyta; Magnoliopsida; Lamiales; Oleaceae. The record is from RNAcentral.
ACCACCUCACUAGAGCCACAUGUACUAUCAGCAAUGGAACCAUUGGCACCACAUCGCACCAGUGAAAAACGAAAACCUUACAAAAAUAUAUUAUAUGGAUGAAUUCAUAAGCCCGAAAAAAAAUCAAUAACGAUGGAGAACUUCAAUAGCUAGUUGCUUCCUGGGAGCCUUUCCUUCCGGGAAAAUACAAUUCUUAUUCAAAUACAUCAUCAACCUAUGACUGCUGUAACAUUCUCUUCCCCAAUCAAAAUCUGAAUCUAAAGGAAAGCUGAGGCUGAAAGAAUACAAUAUGAUAAAAGCACUUGCAUUCAAGGUUAGGAUAAACAAUACAUAGAAAAAAAUAAAACCAAAAAUGCUUUUCAGUAGUAACAAACCCCUGCUGUUAGCUAAACCAAUCAAUCUUGUGAUGUGAACAUUACAUAAAAUAGUUUAGUUUUUCACCCCUACAAGUUGUGGGGAAACAGAUCACAAGUGCUUUUAAUUAUCUCGAUUAUAAAAACAUAUUACAUGGAUGAAUUCAUAAGCAGAAAAAAUCAAUAACAAUGGAGAACCUUAGUAGUAAGUUGCUUCCUGGGAGCCUUUCCUUUAGUGGACUUAUGAGUAGUUUGCUUCGUACGAGCCAUCUACACACAGAUUAGAACCACCAACACUUUGUCGGCUAUAGAACCCCACUACCAUCACUGGCUGUACGCAGAUUAGAUGCACCACCAACCAUCAAAAACACAGAUCCAACCAUCAGCCUUCUUACUCUACCCACAGAUUAGAACCACUAUAACCAUUGCUGGUUGUAUGCGAUGACGACGAUGGUGCAGUAGGGCCAUAGAUGUUGGGCAUAGGUUGCAGUGGCGUCGCUUCUCAAGUAGUAGACAUCAUCGAAAUCAAAGAUCAAGUGGAAUUAUUCUCUCACAGCGUCGGAGUAGUGUGGUAGUCGAUCACCGUAGAUAGAAAAUAGAAAGAGAGGAACGAGAGAGAGAAAGAGUAUGGAGAAU